AUACGGAGGGUGCAAGCGUUAUCCGGAUUCAUUGGGUUUAAAGGGUGCGCAGGCGGAAUGAUAAGUCAGUGGUGAAGUCCUACAGCUUGACUGUAGAACCGCCAUUGAUACUGUCAUUCUUGAGUACACUUGAAGUGGGCGGAAUGUAUCAUGUAGCGGUGAAAUGCAUAGAUAUGAUACAGAACUCCGAUAGCGAAGGCAGCUCACUAAAUUGUAACUGACGCUCAGGCACGAAAGCGUGGGGAGCAAACAGGAUUAGAAACCCCAGUAGUCC
This 274-nucleotide ribosomal RNA is filed under the name uncultured bacterium. Its description in RNAcentral is "partial 16S ribosomal RNA". It matches the Rfam family "Bacterial small subunit ribosomal RNA", at positions 523 to 796 of the family's 1533-position model. The record is from RNAcentral.